Mauremys reevesii (Reeves's turtle) is the source of this 985-nucleotide long non-coding RNA. RefSeq lists it as uncharacterized. The transcript is spliced from 2 exons. NCBI's taxonomy places the organism in Eukaryota, Metazoa, Chordata, Testudines, Geoemydidae. The record is from RefSeq and is a predicted model, not a curated record.
GGUUAACAAACCACCUUCAGAUCUGCCUGAGUCCCGUAUCAACUGCUGCUCUCAUAACCCUAACCCUUCCACUCUGAAGGCAAGAGGAGGCAGACUUUAUUCCCAGUAAAGGAGCUUCACAGGGCAGUAACUAAGCACCAUCCUGCUCAAGUAGGAAGUGGCAAUGCAUAGAGGAAGGAGUAUAAAGGAGACCAGGCUGUUUUAAACAGACUUCCUUCAGAUGGUCUCCCCAAGGUUUCCUGUCACGGCUACAGCCACUUUCUGAUGAAUAGAGCCAACAUUGUCUCUGUGGCACUGGAGUGAAAACAACCCCAUUGAAAGCUACUGAGAAACUUGACCAAAAAAAGCUUUGAAGAAGGUGUCGCCACCACCGGCUCCAGUCAUCUGGUUCCUGUAUACACAGGGGGUGCCUAAACAGAGAGGAAAAAAUAAAUAGCGGGAAAACAUUUUAAAAAACAGAAAAAAAAACCCACUCUCUGCUCUUGGUGACCUAAUUUGACUGCUCUGACUAUGCACAGAACAAAGAUCACUUUGGAGCAGCAACGACAUCAAAGAGCCUGGAUUAUUUCUGUGCAUCAGGCAGGGAUUUAAAAAAAAAAAUAAUUGUGAUGCAUCAUUAUUUGGUGUUUACUGUAGUGAAUUCACAAGAGGAGCAUAUUUUAACACAAAGAAUAUGGUUUAAAAAAUACACAUGCUCUCUCUUUGCUGUUGCUUAGUGUGUGUGUUUGUGUGGUUUUUUUAUUGUAUCAUAAAUUGUAUCAACAUCAAAGUCCCAUCUUGAACAACAAGCAUGAGAUUUCCUAGCCUCUACUUGGGGACUAUAUCUUGCCCUUCUAGAGUGAAGGACUUCAUGACAUAAUAGAUCUCAUCCAUCUCUAGCUAUAGUACUACCAUCUUCUGGUUCUUUAGCCUGCCUCAGAGGCCCAUGCUACCAUUGUGUUCAAAAGAACAUCUCUUGAAGAAUUUUAUGGCCCAGGCUUUGCCC